RNAcentral lists this ribosomal RNA (911 nucleotides) under uncultured archaeon. Its description in RNAcentral is "bacterial SSU rRNA". It matches the Rfam family "Archaeal small subunit ribosomal RNA", at positions 1 to 922 of the family's 1478-position model. The record is from RNAcentral.
UUCCGGUUGAUCCUGCCGGAGGUCACUGCUAUUGGGAUUCGACUAAGCCAUGCGAGUCGAGAGGGUUCGGGCCUCGGCUGACGGCUCAGUAACACGUGGAUAAUCUGCCCUUAGGUGGAGGAUAACCUCGGGAAACUGAGAAUAAUACUCCAUAGGUCUAGGAUGCUGGAAUGCAUCUAGACUGAAAACUCCGGUGCCUAAGGAUGAGUCUGCGGACUAUCAGGUUGUAGUCAGGGUAAAGACCUGACUAGCCUACGACGGAUAUGGGUUGUGAGAGCAAUAACCCAGAGAUGAUAUCUGAGACACGAUAUCAGGCCCUACGGGGCGCAGCAGGCGCGAAAACUUCACACUGUGCGAAAGCACGAUGAGGGAAUCCCAAGUGCCAGCUCGUAAGAGUUGGCUGUUUUUCUGUUUAAAGUGCAGAGAGAGUAAGAGCUGGGUAAGACGGGUGCCAGCCGCCGCGGUAAUACCUGCAGCUCGAGUGGUGACCGUUAUUAUUGGGCCUAAAACGUCCGUAGCCGGUUUAGUAAAUGCCUGGGUAAAUCGUGUAGCUUAACUAUACGAAUUCCGGGUAGACUGCUAAACUUGAGACCGGGAGAGGCUAGAGGUACUCCUGGGGUAGAGGUGAAAUUCUGUAAUCCUGGGGGGACCACCAGUGGCGAAGGCGUCUAGCUAGAACGGAUCUGACGGUGAGGGACGAAGCCCUGGGGCGCAAACCGGAUUAGAUACCCGGGUAGUCCAGGGUGUAAACGCUGCUUGCUUGAUGUUAGUCGGGCUCCGAGCCCGAUUAGUGUCGGAGAGAAGUUGCUAAGCAAGCUGCCUGGGAAGUACGGUCGCAAGACUGAACUUAAGGAUUGCGGGGGAGCACAGCACGGGUGGAGGCGUGCGGUUUAAUUGAAAUCAACGCCGGU